AAGUCGUAACAAGGUUUCCGUAGGUGAACCUGCGGAAGGAUCAUUAACACGUAUCCAACGUUAAACAACCCUGUGAACUUUAAGUCCCCUCUUGCAGCCCAUGAGGAACAGCAAUCCCGGUAAAUCAUUGCCAAACAGUUUUGAUUCGGGACCUCUGUCCAUGGAAGCAGUGGCAUGGCUUCCCCAAGCAGUUAGUGAAUGACAGUGUCACUGACUGUGUAAGGAUAACGCCUCGCGGUUGCUAGAGGUCGAUCACCGACCGGCAGACAUGUCACAGGGUCACCACGCCCCUUAAUCACUCCACUUGAAAAUGCCCCGCCUAGUGGUAACGCGCUAGGUAAAAAAAACCGAACAACUGUUAACAAUGGAUAUCUUGGUUCUC
Molecule: unclassified non-coding RNA, 382 nt
Filed under: fungal sp.
Lineage: Eukaryota; Fungi
Description: partial internal transcribed spacer region
Rfam family: Eukaryotic small subunit ribosomal RNA (bases 1-46)
Source: RNAcentral